This 424-nucleotide ribosomal RNA is filed under the name Bacteroidetes bacterium SCGC AAA023-J07. Its description in RNAcentral is "bacterial SSU rRNA". It matches the Rfam family "Bacterial small subunit ribosomal RNA", at positions 358 to 780 of the family's 1533-position model. Lineage: Bacteria; Pseudomonadati; Bacteroidota. The record is from RNAcentral.
GGAAUAUUGGGCAAUGGACGCAAGUCUGACCCAGCCAUGCCGCGUGCAGGAUGAAGGCGUUAUGCGUCGUAAACUGCUUUUAUACAGGAAGAAACGACUCUUGCGAGAGGCAUUGACGGUACUGUAUGAAUAAGCACCGGCUAACUCCGUGCCAGCAGCCGCGGUAAUACGGAGGGUGCAAGCGUUGUCCGGAUUUAUUGGGUUUAAAGGGUGCGCAGGUGGUUUAUUAAGUCAGUGGUGAAAGACGGUCGCUCAACGAUUGCAGUGCCAUUGAAACUAGUAGACUUGAGUAAAGUAGAGGUGGGCGGAAUUGAUAGUGUAGCGGUGAAAUGCAUAGAUAUUAUCAAGAACUCCAAUUGCGUAGGCAGCUCACUUGGCUUUUACUGACACUCAUGCACGAAAGUGUGGGUAUCAAACAGGAUUA